This 509-nucleotide ribosomal RNA is filed under the name Paenibacillaceae bacterium CL4.86. Its description in RNAcentral is "bacterial SSU rRNA". It matches the Rfam family "Bacterial small subunit ribosomal RNA", at positions 17 to 503 of the family's 1533-position model. The record is from RNAcentral. Lineage: Bacteria; Bacillati; Bacillota; Bacilli; Caryophanales; Paenibacillaceae.
CCCUGGCUCAGGACGAACGCUGGCGGCAUGCCUAAUACAUGCAAGUCGAGCGGAGUAAGAAUGGAAGCUUGCUUCCAUUCUUACUUAGCGGCGGACGGGUGAGUAACACGUAGGCAACCUGCCCUCAAGACUGGGAUAACUACCGGAAACGGUAGCUAAUACCGGAUAAUUUCUUUCCUCUCCUGAAGAGAGAAUGAAAGGCGGAGCAAUCUGCCGCUUGGGGAUGGGCCUGCGGCGCAUUAGCUAGUUGGUGGGGUAACGGCUCACCAAGGCGACGAUGCGUAGCCGACCUGAGAGGGUGAACGGCCACACUGGGACUGAGACACGGCCCAGACUCCUACGGGAGGCAGCAGUAGGGAAUCUUCCGCAAUGGGCGAAAGCCUGACGGAGCAAUGCCGCGUGAGUGAUGAAGGUUUUCGGAUCGUAAAGCUCUGUUGCCAGGGAAGAACGUCCGGUAGAGUAACUGCUACCGGAGUGACGGUACCUGAGAAGAAAGCCCCGGCUAACUA